RNAcentral lists this ribosomal RNA (484 nucleotides) under uncultured bacterium. Its description in RNAcentral is "partial 16S ribosomal RNA". It matches the Rfam family "Bacterial small subunit ribosomal RNA", at positions 30 to 507 of the family's 1533-position model. The record is from RNAcentral.
AUUGAACGCUGGCGGCAGGCCUAACACAUGCAAGUCGAGCGGAUGAAGGGAGCUUGCUCCUGGAUUCAGCGGCGGACGGGUGAGUAAUGCCUAGGAAUCUGCCUGGUAGUGGGGGAUAACGUCCGGAAACGGGCGCUAAUACCGCAUACGUCCUGAGGGAGAAAGUGGGGGAUCUUCGGACCUCACGCUAUCAGAUGAGCCUAGGUCGGAUUAGCUAGUUGGUGGGGUAAAGGCCUACCAAGGCGACGAUCCGUAACUGGUCUGAGAGGAUGAUCAGUCACACUGGAACUGAGCCACGGUCCAGACUCCUACGGGAGGCAGCAGUGGGGAAUAUUGGACAAUGGGCGAAAGCCUGAUCCAGCCAUGCCGCGUGUGUGAAGAAGGUCUUCGGAUUGUAAAGCACUUUAAGUUGGGAGGAAGGGCAGCAAGUUAAUACCUUGCUGUUUUGACGUUACCAACAGAAUAAGCACCGGCUAACUUCGUG